CCUACGGGGUGCAGCAGUAGGGAAUCUUCGGCAAUGGACGAAAGUCUGACCGAGCAACGCCGCGUGAGUGAAGAAGGUUUUCGGAUCGUAAAACUCUGUUGUUAGAGAAGAACAAGCAGGAGAGUAACUGCUCUUACCUUGACGGUAUCUAACCAGAAAGCCACGGCUAACUACGUGCCAGCAGCCGCGGUAAUACGUAGGUGGCAAGCGUUGUCCGGAUUUAUUGGGCGUAAAGCGAGCGCAGGCGGUCUUUUAAGUCUGAUGUGAAAGCCCUCGGCUCAACCGAGGAAGGUCAUUGGAAACUGGAGGACUUGAGUGCAGAAGAGGAGAGUGGAAUUCCAUGUGUAGCGGUGAAAUGCGUAGAUAUAUGGAGGAACACCAGUGGCGAAGGCGACUCUCUGGUCCGUAACUGACGCUGAGGCUCGAAAGCGUGGGGAGCAAACAGGAUUAGAUACCCGAGUAAUC
This 465-nucleotide ribosomal RNA is filed under the name uncultured bacterium. Its description in RNAcentral is "bacterial SSU rRNA". It matches the Rfam family "Bacterial small subunit ribosomal RNA", at positions 338 to 795 of the family's 1533-position model. The record is from RNAcentral.